GACGAACGCUGGCGGCGUGCUUAACACAUGCAAGUCGAACGGAAAGGCCCUGCUUUUGUGGGGUGCUCGAGUGGCGAACGGGUGAGUAACACGUGAGUAACCUGCCCUUGACUUUGGGAUAACUUCAGGAAACGGGGGCUAAUACCGGAUAGGAGCUCCUGCUGCAUGGUGGGGGUUGGAAAGGUUCGGCGGUUGGGGAUGGACUCGCGGCUUAUCAGCUUGUUGGUGGGGUAGUGGCUUACCAAGGCUUUGACGGGUAGCCGGCCUGAGAGGGUGACCGGCCACAUUGGGACUGAGAUACGGCCCAGAGUCCUACGGGAGGCAGCAGUGGAGAAUAUUGCGAAAUGGGCGGAAGCCGGAUGCAGCAACGCCGCGUGCGGGAUGACGGUCUUCGGGUUGUAACCCGCUUUCGCCUGUGACGAAGCGUGAGUGACGGUAAUGGGUAAAGAAGCACCGGCUAACUACGUG
This 468-nucleotide ribosomal RNA is filed under the name uncultured bacterium. RNAcentral describes it as "partial 16S ribosomal RNA". It matches the Rfam family "Bacterial small subunit ribosomal RNA", at positions 28 to 507 of the family's 1533-position model. The record is from RNAcentral.